GAGUACGAAGUCAUUGUUCUGGGUACUGGUCUCAAGGAGUGCAUCCUUAGUGGUCUUCUCUCCGUCGAUGGUAUUAAGGUUCUUCACAUGGACAGGAAUGACUACUACGGUGGAGAGUCAACAUCUCUUAAUCUCAAUCAGCUGUGGAAUAAGUUCAGGGGAGAAGAAAAGGCUCCUGCUCAUUUAGGCUCUAGCAG
Molecule: non-coding RNA, 197 nt
Organism: Camelina sativa (false flax)
Lineage: Eukaryota; Viridiplantae; Streptophyta; Magnoliopsida; Brassicales; Brassicaceae
Source: RefSeq, a predicted model, not a curated record